GCGGCAAGAGCUCAAAUUUGAAAUCUGGCUCCUUCGGGGCCCGAGUUGUAAUUUGUAGAGGAUGCUUCGGGCGUGGCCGCGGUCUAAGUCCCCUGGAACGGGGCGUCGCAGAGGGUGAGAAUCCCGUCUUCGGCCGGCCGGCCCCGCCCGUGUGAAGCUCCUUCGACGAGUCGAGUUGUUUGGGAAUGCAGCUCUAAAUGGGUGGUAAAUUUCAUCUAAAGCUAAAUACUGGUCGGAGACCGAUAGCGCACAAGUAGAGUGAUCGAAAGAUGAAAAGCACUUUGAAAAGAGAGUUAAACAGCAUGUGAAAUUGUUGAAAGGGAAGCGCUUGCGACCAGAGUCGGCCGCGGGGGCUCAGCGGGCACUCGUUGCCCGUGCACUCCCCCGUGGUCGGGCCAGCGUCGGUUUCGACGGCCGGUCAAAGGCCCCCGGAAUGUGUCGCCUCUCGGGGCGUCUUAUAGCCGGGGGUGCAAUGCGGCCAGUCGGGACCGAGGAACGCGCUCCGGCACGGACGCUGGCUUAAUGGUCGUAAGCGACCCGUCUUGAAACACGGACCAAGGAGUCUAACAUCCACGCGAGUGUUCGGGUGUCAAACCCGUCCGCGCAGUGAAAGCGAACGGAGGUGGGAACCCUCAAGGGUGCACCAUCGACCGAUCCUGAAGUCUUCGGAUGGAUUUGAGUAAGAGCG
Molecule: ribosomal RNA, 688 nt
Filed under: Paracoccidioides brasiliensis
Lineage: Eukaryota; Fungi; Ascomycota; Eurotiomycetes; Onygenales; Ajellomycetaceae
Description: eukaryotic LSU rRNA
Rfam family: Eukaryotic large subunit ribosomal RNA
Source: RNAcentral